Molecule: microRNA precursor, 79 nt
Filed under: Medicago truncatula (barrel medic)
Lineage: Eukaryota; Viridiplantae; Streptophyta; Magnoliopsida; Fabales; Fabaceae
Description: MIR5269 microRNA precursor family
Rfam family: MIR5269 microRNA precursor family
Source: Rfam by way of RNAcentral
UUGGUUUAAAUCAAUGUGAGUCUACAGUUUGACAAUAGUACUUGCAUAAAGUGGUGGGACAUAAAAUGAUUUCAUCCAA